This 253-nucleotide ribosomal RNA is filed under the name uncultured bacterium. Its description in RNAcentral is "partial 16S ribosomal RNA". It matches the Rfam family "Bacterial small subunit ribosomal RNA", at positions 524 to 776 of the family's 1533-position model. The record is from RNAcentral.
CACGUAGGGCGCAAGCGUUGUCCGGAAUUAUUGGGCGUAAAGAGCUCGUAGGCGGUUUGUCGCGUCUGCUGUGAAAACUCGGGGCUUAACCCCGGGCCUGCAGUGGGUACGGGCAGACUAGAGUGCGGUAGGGGAGACUGGAAUUCCUGGUGUAGCGGUGAAAUGCGCAGAUAUCAGGAGGAACACCGGUGGCGAAGGCGGGUCACUGGCCCGAUACUGACGCUGAGGCACGAAAGCGUGGGGAGCAAACAGG